UCCGACCGGCCGGACACGUAUGUGAACGGCCCACAAGUGGAGGCUCCGAUCUCCCACCCGGCCGACCCUCAGGGGCGGCGGGUCACUGGUCAGGCUGCGCCCCGCGGAGACUUCGCGGCGGUGCUCCCGAUCUCGUUCUGGAGCCCCGCCUGUGUCCCGUCCGGGGCGUUUUCC
Molecule: non-coding RNA, 174 nt
Filed under: Streptomyces sp. NBRC 110611
Lineage: Bacteria; Bacillati; Actinomycetota; Actinomycetes; Kitasatosporales; Streptomycetaceae
Description: Streptomyces RNA 1601
Rfam family: Streptomyces RNA 1601
About the family: Identified by deep sequencing of transcriptome at the end of exponential growth phase. Appears longer on northern blot than sequencing transcript.
Source: Rfam by way of RNAcentral